Molecule: non-coding RNA, 701 nt
Organism: Paramuricea clavata
Lineage: Eukaryota; Metazoa; Cnidaria; Anthozoa; Malacalcyonacea; Plexauridae
Source: the annotation of a GenBank genome assembly
CUUUGUGAAUGGCCCCUUUCACGAAAAUCUGCCCCCUUUGCCUUCACAUCGUUCCGGCGUCCCUGGUAUUACUAUUAAUCUGUCUGCGUUAAUACUUAAUCGUGCACUGAUGACCAUUUUACUCUGCCUAACAAACAGACGAUUUGGCAUUCCGUCUUAUAAAGGAUGAUUUUAUACUCCGUCUAAUGGAAUGAUUUUAUGCGAGCCAUGCUCACGAUUUCCCCUGUGCGAGACUAGUACUUUUUAGAUAAUAUGGCUUAAAUUGGUUUUUGUAUCCAAAAUUGCGUUGCAAGUUGCAAUCAAAUAUUGCCACUAAAACAUCAGUUUCAAAAUCCUGCAACUUUCUUCGUGUUCUACAGUACAUUUGUCGGAGGUGAUUUGUGUGCUUGAUUUAAUUGAGGCAAAUACUGCUCGCGGUCUAAAGCCGGUUUUCCACUAGGCGGAAUUUUGCGCGUGGAGCGGAAUUUUUCUUUGUCUUGUGAUUUCUCGGGUGGAACUAAUAUUUAGAAAAGACAAAGAAAAAUUCCGCUCCGCGCGCAAAAUUCCGCCUAUAGUGGAAAACAGGCUUAAGGCAUAUUUCCACUCCAGAAAAUUUCCGCACAAAGAAAAUUUUGUAAAAUGUGAUUGGCCGACACAAUUAAUUCAAAUUCUCCGUCGGAAAUAAAAUUUUGAAGUUGAAAAUUUUCAACUUUUAUAAACAG